ACCAAUAUGGGCUUCAAAAUAUGAAAAAUAAUGAAUUUCUGCUUGUAGUUACCCGCUGAACCUUUUUUCAGGGAAAAUCGAAGUUAGAUGAAAACAGGUGAAGAUGAGAUUAUGUUCUGCUUCAGGAAAUAAAGAAAUGGGGUAUGAUUCUUUUUUUAGUUGUUUCCAUUUCCCUGAAGAAGCUGUAGUAUCCAAGAAAAGGGAAUGAUGUAAAUGCCAAUGAAGCAAAUUGUGAACUGAUUUUAGUUAACUAAAUAGUAAUUUUU
Molecule: unclassified non-coding RNA, 266 nt
Filed under: Hevea brasiliensis (rubber tree)
Lineage: Eukaryota; Viridiplantae; Streptophyta; Magnoliopsida; Malpighiales; Euphorbiaceae
Source: RNAcentral